CAGUAGCCGCGGUAAUACGAGGGGGGCAAGCGUUGUUCGGAAUUAUUGGGCGUAAAGGGCGCGUAGGCGGUUUGGCAAGUUUGGUGCGAAAUCUUCGGGCUCAACUCGAAGUCUGCACAGGAAACUGUCGGGCUUGAGUAUUGGAGAGGUGAGUGGAAUUUCCGGUGUAGUGGUGAAAUGCGUAGAUAUCGGAAGGAACACCUGUGGCGAAAGCGGCUCACUGGACAAUUACUGACGCUGAUGCACGAAAGCUAGGGGAGCAAACAGGAUUAGAUACCCGAGUAGUCCCUGUCUCUUAUAA
This 301-nucleotide ribosomal RNA is filed under the name uncultured bacterium. Its description in RNAcentral is "partial 16S ribosomal RNA". It matches the Rfam family "Bacterial small subunit ribosomal RNA", at positions 509 to 809 of the family's 1533-position model. The record is from RNAcentral.